This 440-nucleotide ribosomal RNA is filed under the name uncultured bacterium. RNAcentral's name for it is "partial 16S ribosomal RNA". It matches the Rfam family "Bacterial small subunit ribosomal RNA", at positions 338 to 795 of the family's 1533-position model. The record is from RNAcentral.
CCUACGGGAGGCAGCAGUGGGGAAUAUUGCACAAUGGGCGCAACCCUGAUGCAGCAACGCCGCGUGAGUGAUGAAGUCUUUCGGUAUUUUAAGCUCUAUCAGCAGGGAAGAAAAUUACGGUACCUGUGUCUGAUUCUCCGGCUAACUACGGUCCAGCAGCCGCGGUUAUACGGAGGGGGCCCGAGUUAUCCGGAGUUACUGGGUGUAAAGGGAGCGUAGACGGUGAGACAAGUCUGAAGUGAAAGCCCGGGGCUCAACCGCAGGACUGCUUUGGAAACUGCCUGACUGGAGUGCUGGAGAGGUAAGCGGAAUUCCUGGUGUAGCGGUGAAAUGCGUAGAUAUUAGGAAGAACACCAAUGGCGAAGGCGGCUUGCUGGACAGUAACUGACGUUGAGGCUCGAAAGCGUGGGGAGCAAACAGGAUUAGAUACCCCAGUAGUC